RNAcentral lists this microRNA precursor (58 nucleotides) under Ochotona princeps (American pika). RNAcentral's name for it is "miRNA (ENSOPRG00000023765.1)". The record is from RNAcentral. Lineage: Eukaryota; Metazoa; Chordata; Mammalia; Lagomorpha; Ochotonidae.
ACCAAUGCAGACUCGAGGGCCCUGAGGGUGCCCAGCAUGGCCUCAGAGCUCCAUGGGU